This 442-nucleotide long non-coding RNA is filed under the name Carica papaya (papaya). RNAcentral describes it as "long non-coding RNA (CPAP_LNC006194)". Lineage: Eukaryota; Viridiplantae; Streptophyta; Magnoliopsida; Brassicales; Caricaceae. The record is from RNAcentral.
UGAAUUCGGCUUUACUGUUUGAUACUUAGUCGAGAAUAAUAUAGCUGGAAAUAUUGUUACCUCGCAAUUUCUUUCUUUUGGUUCCCGGAAGCUCAUCUUCACUUACUAGUUUUUUGCAUUUCUCUGGUUUAGGUGUGUUUUCAGCAAGUAUCGCGUCAUCCCCCCUUAUUCGAGAGGAUUUGUCCUCGAUUUGUAGAGACUAUAAACUUUUCAUCUAAGAUCAUUGAGGACAGAAGUUUUACCAAACAUCCAACGGGGUGCUCGGGUUGUUUUUAAAUGAAGAAAAAACUUUUGUCUAGAUUCAAAUUGUGGCCCUUCUUUGUCUAUCUCUUAUCGAACUCUUCGUAUGACUUUUUAAUUUUCAGUUGAUCCUCAUAAACAUCCCUUCUUGACAAAGGUGUAAAGACAUGAGUGUGGUUACCCAUUUGGAUAGAAUACUGAU